RNAcentral lists this ribosomal RNA (453 nucleotides) under uncultured bacterium. RNAcentral's name for it is "bacterial SSU rRNA". It matches the Rfam family "Bacterial small subunit ribosomal RNA", at positions 340 to 786 of the family's 1533-position model. The record is from RNAcentral.
UACGGAAGGCAGCAGUGGGGAAUAUUGCACAAUGGGCGCAAGCCUGAUGCAGCCAUGCCGCGUGUAUGAAGAAGGCCUUCGGGUUGUAAAGUACUUUCAGUCGUGAGGAAGGUGUUAAGGUUAAUAACCUUAGCAAUUGACGUUAGCGACAGAAGAAGCACCGGCUAACUCCGUGCCAGCAGCCGCGGUAAUACGGAGGGUGCGAGCGUUAAUCGGAAUUACUGGGCGUAAAGGGCACGCAGGCGGUUAAUUAAGUUGGAUGUGAAUCCCCGGGCUUAACCUGGGAAUGGCAUUCAAGACUGGUUAGCUAGAGUCUUGUAGAGGGGGUAGAAUUCCAUGUGUAGCGGUGAAAUGCGUAGAGAUGUGGAGGAAUACCGGUGGCGAAGGCGGCCCCUGGGACAAAGACUGACGCUCAUGUGCGAAAGCGUGGGGAGCAAACGAGGAUUAGAUACC